GCAUGGGUGGCGGAAUGGUAGACGCGCUACUUUGAGGGGGUAGUGAGGGGAACCUUGUGCGAGUUCAACUCUCGUCCCAUGCACCA
RNAcentral lists this transfer RNA (86 nucleotides) under Candidatus Coprosoma intestinipullorum. RNAcentral describes it as "tRNA-Leu". It matches the Rfam family "tRNA". Rfam says of the family: Transfer RNA (tRNA) molecules are approximately 80 nucleotides in length. The record is from RNAcentral. Lineage: Bacteria; Bacillati; Bacillota.